GGCAAUAUUUGAAUGGAUAAACUGUUUCCAAAGUUAACUCAAGAUAUUGCUCUCGAUGAUUAGGAAGAUUUCUGUUGUUAAAAUGGGGUACUUUAAAAAGAGUAUACCAACUACAAGAGGAUGUUGUUAGCUGUCUUAUUGAAGAUAAACUAAAAGAAUACCCUUGGCGUUACCUGGUUGCAAGGUUUUUAUAGGCUCCUCCUAGGCAAUUUGGCAUUUUAACUAUAAUUGACAUACCUUUAGAAAAGGGAAAGCUUGGUAUUACUUCUUCCAUCAGAGAGAAAUUAGCACCAGAAAUUUUGCAUUUACAGAUUCUGCGUAUUGAUUUAAUAUUAAAUUAUAUUAGGCCCACUGACUUACCUUUAAUAUUAAAUAACCUCCUUAUUAUAUAGUCUCCUUGCAUCCUUAUAUUUUUUCAAGUUUUUAACUUAAAUAUUUGAACUUUAUUUGAGUCUAGUUUAUAAAUCUAUUACAGCGCUGUAUUUUUCCUUGUUCAGAAAAAUAAACUUAUGUUUAGAACAAAUAACCCAAAGAUACGGAGAAAAAAACUUCGUGCUGCUUGCUUGUUUCGAACUCGCCGGGAGGCCUUGUCAAAUAAAAUAAUAGUUUCAUAAACACGUGCAUCGCCUAUACUUUGUGUAUCAGACUUUUGCUGUACGCAAGAACCCGAGAGACCUGUCCCUCGUUCAGUAUGCCCUUGGAGCUACAGGAUACAAGCGCCCCCGCGGAAAAAGGCAAAUCUGUUCAUCGAAGGUCUCGGGCAUCGGCACCUGGAGCACCUUUCUCCCCCUGAAGAUUCUGGAAAGUGCUUUCUUGUUUAUAUGUCCAGCCUUGCGUUUUUUGAGGACACGCGUGUCGCCCUAGUCGUCUGCAGGAUUAUUUAAGAAACCUUAUUCGUCAACGUCACCGGCACAUUGGAAAAGAGCGCUGCUUCCGUAAUAAUCACUGGUACGCGAAACUGCAGGACGUGUUUGUAGCAGCUUACGAAGGAAGACCAUCUUUAAGCUUAGUGCGUUCCGCUAACUUGGCUACCUUGGGAGAGGGAGACAUGACCUCCUAAGCCCCCUCACUUAUUAACAACCGGCUGACUAAUCCAAGCACAGCUGGCGGAAUCGCUUUUGUAACCUCUGAACUCUCGCUUCUAAAAGCACCUGGCCCCCAACGGCAUUUUAUAAAACUCUUAAAAAGUUGCCGCCUGUAAAGAUUAGCCACUUUUCACGUUUGCAACUUCUGCGUGAUCUCCUGACUUCUUCCCAGCCGCGAUGGAAAAUAGUCACUGUUGUGAUGCUCUCUAAGACUCCGCGUCCUUCAACAGAUCUAAGCGGAUAUCCUCCUAUUUUGCAUAAUAACGACAGUGGGUAAAAUUGUGAGGGCUGUUCUACUACGGUGAUUCGAAGAAUUUGUAUAAACAUAUAAAGCGCUUCCGAAAAUUCAAUUCAAACUUCGAAACUGUCAUCGACAACACCACAAUUUCAAGCUUUGCUGAACGGACAAUCGGAAAAUUUUCAUUUAAAGAAGUUCACGGUCGUCUUUCUCGAGGUUGAAAAAACCUUCGAGCGCGAAUGGCAUGACGGACUUUUACACAAAUUCUGGGUACUGUUUACGGUAUCAGCGUCGAUUCUAUGCGAACGCACCUUUCGAGUGAGAGUUGGGGCUGCUGUAUCGCCUUAUCGUCGACUGAGAGCUGUUAUUCCGCAAGACUCUUUGCUCUGACCACCAUACUUCGCCCUAUAGAGGCGGGACAUUUCACCUCCUGAAAACACCCCGUCCAGAUCGCACCCUACGCCGAUGAUACCGCUGUUUAUGCAUCCUCUAAGAGCCCCUCAUUAUUAAGGCAACACGUACAACGCUACCUGAAAACAUCUGUCAACUGGUGCAGGCGGUGAGGUGUAAGCAUUGAUGGAAAGAGAAGAUGCUCCACACUACUCUCGCCUCUAAUUCUGAAAGUUGUUAAUCUCUAUGGAGCUCUUAUGCCAAGUACUUGGGUGUCAUCAUCAUUAAGCGACUAACUUGGCGGCAUCACGAAGUAUUUGUUGCAGCUAAGAUCAAGCUUCAAUCCACGCGCUUACCCACUGUUGAGCACAAAACGCGCAAUGUUUCUGCUUAAUAAACUUCGCUUGUGUAAAGUACGCGUACGCCCUAUAGUGGCUUACGCAUCUGCGGCUUAGAUAUAUAUAAAAGCAGAUCGUAACAAAACAGGCUACUGCACCUUACUUCAUGCGUAUUGACACCUUGCACAACGAGCUGAGUUUAAAAUAACUUGAUAACUUUUUAAGGAAUGCAACUACUGUCUUUUUUGAACGUGUUUAAAAGCAUCUUAACCACCUGUGGGUCCAAGAACUUACUAUGAACCCUGGAAAGGCGCACGCUUUGACAGCCUCGCAGUGCACUUCGAAUGCACAGUUAUAUCUUAUAUCUCCACACAUAUAUGUAUAAUAUGACGAGGUAACUGGCGGAAACUAAAUACAGCCUCCGCCAAUAAUCUAAAUUAUUAGGCAAACUAAGCAUUUUGCGCUCGAUAUUAUUUAAGCCGCAUAAAUCAUACAAAAAAAUUAGCCUCGACAGGACAAACGCUGACGUACUAGAAGCUGUAAUACUAAGAUAACAACAGUUUUUUUAUGUAAAAUAAAA
Molecule: long non-coding RNA, 2631 nt
Organism: Zophobas morio
Lineage: Eukaryota; Metazoa; Arthropoda; Insecta; Coleoptera; Tenebrionidae
Exons: 8
Source: RefSeq, a predicted model, not a curated record